Molecule: transfer RNA, 74 nt
Filed under: Bacteroidales bacterium
Lineage: Bacteria; Pseudomonadati; Bacteroidota; Bacteroidia; Bacteroidales
Also listed under: 2 other names
Description: tRNA-Arg
Rfam family: tRNA
About the family: Transfer RNA (tRNA) molecules are approximately 80 nucleotides in length.
Source: RNAcentral
GGCCGCGUAGCUCAACUGAAUAGAGCACUUGACUACGGAUCAAGAGGUUUUGGGUUUGAACCCCAACGUGGUCA